UAAGGAAUAUUGGUCAAUGGACGCAAGUCUGAACCAGCCAUGCCGCGUGGAGGAUUAAGGCCCUCUGGGUUGUAAACUCCUUUUAUCUGGGAAGAAAUGUACUUUUUCUUGAGUACUUGACGGUACCAGAGGAAUAAGCACCGGCUAACUCCGUGCCAGCAGCCGCGGUAAUACGGAGGGUGCAAGCGUUAUCCGGAUUCACUGGGUUUAAAGGGUGCGUAGGUGGGCAGGUAAGUCAGUGGUGAAAUCUCCGGGCUUAACCCGGAAACUGCCGUUGAUACUAUUUGUCUUGAAUAUUGUGGAGNUAAGCGGAAUAUGUCAUGUAGCGGUGAAAUGCUUAGAUAUGACAUAGAACACCAAUUGCGAAGGCAGCUUACUACACAAUCAUUGACGCUGAGGCACGAAAGCAUGGGGAUCAAACA
RNAcentral lists this ribosomal RNA (422 nucleotides) under uncultured bacterium. RNAcentral describes it as "bacterial SSU rRNA". It matches the Rfam family "Bacterial small subunit ribosomal RNA", at positions 355 to 774 of the family's 1533-position model. The record is from RNAcentral.